GCCUGCUCUGUUCAGUUCUAGUUCAGUUCAGUUCUAGUGCAGUUUUCGUGCAGCGAAAAAAAACAAACCUAAGAUGAAAAAGAGAACAUACCAAAAAAAUGUAACAAUAGGAGAAAGUUAAAUACUAUAAUA
Long non-coding RNA from Harpegnathos saltator (Jerdon's jumping ant), 132 nucleotides. RefSeq lists it as uncharacterized. The transcript has 2 exons. Lineage: Eukaryota; Metazoa; Arthropoda; Insecta; Hymenoptera; Formicidae. The record is from RefSeq and is a predicted model, not a curated record.